GUCGAAUGCUGGCGGCGUGCUUAACACAUGCAAGUCGAACGGAAACACCCUGCUUGUUGGGUACUCGAGUGGCGAACGGGUGAGUAACACGUGUGUGAGCUGCCCUGCACUUCGGGAUAAGCCUGGGAAACUGGGUCUAAUACCGGAUCGGAGCCCGUUUCAGUGCGAUGGUUGGAAAGCUUUUUCGGUGUAGGAUGGGCUCGCGGCCUAUCAGCUUGUUGGUGGGGUAAUGGCCUCCCAAGUCGGCGACGGGUAGCCGGCCUGAGAGGGUGGACAGCCACAUUGGGACUGAGAUACGGACCAGACUCCUACAGGGGGCAGCAGGGGGGAAUAUUGCACAAUGGGCGCGAGCCUGAUGCAGCGACGCCGCGUGGGGGAUGUCGGCCUUCGGGUUGUAAACUCCUUUCGCUAGAGACGAAGCUUUUGUGACGUUACCUAGAUAAGAAGCACCGGCUAACUACGUG
Molecule: ribosomal RNA, 464 nt
Filed under: uncultured bacterium
Lineage: Bacteria
Description: partial 16S ribosomal RNA
Rfam family: Bacterial small subunit ribosomal RNA
Source: RNAcentral